This 303-nucleotide ribosomal RNA is filed under the name Pogonoperca punctata. Its description in RNAcentral is "partial 16S rRNA". The stretch from base 107 to 180 matches the Rfam family "tRNA". Lineage: Eukaryota; Metazoa; Chordata; Actinopteri; Perciformes; Serranidae. The record is from RNAcentral.
CAUAACUGGUUAGCCCAUUUACCCAACAACUAAUCCCCUCAAACAGCUAUGGGGGGACAAAAAUCGUAACAUAGUAAGUGUACCAGAAAGUGCACUUGGAAAGACUCAGGAUGUGGCUCAACACAGAUAAAGCAUCUCCCUUACACUGAGAAGAUAUCCGUGCAAACCGGAUCGUCCUGACGCCAACUAGCUAGCCCACUUACCCAACAGCAACAAGCCACUAUCAAUACCCCCUAAUACAACCCACCCACAACCUAACCAAAUCAUUUUUCCUCCCUAGUACGGGCGACAGAAAAGAACCCA